Long non-coding RNA from Drosophila ananassae, 660 nucleotides. RefSeq lists it as uncharacterized. The record is from RefSeq and is a predicted model, not a curated record. Lineage: Eukaryota; Metazoa; Arthropoda; Insecta; Diptera; Drosophilidae. The transcript is spliced from 2 exons.
GGUCGCUCGCUGGUUCAAAGCCAAAACAAAACAAAAAAAAAGUAAUUUAAAAAUUUUUUAGAAAAAAAAAAGAAAACAAAAAUAGUAAACAAAAAACAUAUGGUCUUAUUUACCUCUUGAACCCAAUGCAGCUAAUUAAAAAUAUCGAUAGGCUCAGCUGACCCCAAUUGACAUUCACCCCCCACCACAGCUGCUCCCCUUUUUGGGAAUUCACCCACCCACGUAAGCACCUGUCAAAAAGUGACAAUCCCAAAAGAUGCAUUUCCUGUCUGCCACCUGAUUUCACUUUUAUUCUGAAUCUCGCUGCGGGCAGACCUGUGCAUCUGUGGAUAAAAAUUAUUAAACCAGUGACUUAACCUCGUGGAGGAGAAAAUUAGUGUGUGAUUUUUUUUAUAAGAAUAGAGCGGAUUUUUGUUGCUGGAUGACCCUCGAUGCCCGUGGAUUUGGAGGCACCACCUGGCCCAACCUCGGCAUCCAUCAUAAGCACCAGCAUCACCACCAAGCUUCAGGGAUUAUUUUUACGACCCGUCGCCGAAAUUCCGCCGGCAACAUCAACCCCUCUGCCUGUGGAGUCUUGGGUCUUUUUUUAUGUAUUUUUUUUAUAUAAAAAAAAUUACAAAUAUCACGUAACUACAACUAUUAAAUAUCCCCGCGAGAGAG